This 429-nucleotide ribosomal RNA is filed under the name Chloroflexota bacterium. RNAcentral's name for it is "Chloroflexi bacterium partial 16S ribosomal RNA". It matches the Rfam family "Bacterial small subunit ribosomal RNA", at positions 355 to 776 of the family's 1533-position model. The record is from RNAcentral. Lineage: Bacteria; Bacillati; Chloroflexota.
UGGGGAAUAUUGCACAAUGGGCGCAAGCCUGAUGCAUCCAUGCCGCGUGUGUGAAGAAGGCCUUCGGGUUGUAAAGCACUUUCAGCGGGGAGGAAGGCGUUAAGGUUAAUAACCUUGGCGAUUGACGUUACCCGCAGAAGAAGCACCGGCUAACUCCGUGCCAGCAGCCGCGGUAAUACGGAGGGUGCAAGCGUUAAUCGGAAUUACUGGGCGUAAAGCGCACGCAGGCGGUCUGUCAAGUCGGAUGUGAAAUCCCCGGGCUCAACCUGGGAACUGCAUUCGAAACUGGCAGGCUAGAGUCUUGUAGAGGGGGGUAGAAUUCCAGGUGUAGCGGUGAAAUGCGUAGAGAUCUGGAGGAAUACCGGUGGCGAAGGCGGCCCCCUGGACAAAGACUGACGCUCAGGUGCGAAAGCGUGGGGAGCAAACAGG